UUUCCGUAGGUGAACCUGCGGAAGGAUCAUUCAUAAUAAGUGUUUUAUGGCACUUUUUUAAAUCCAUAUCCACCUUGUGUGCAAUGUCAGGGUUGAUUUUUCUCUCGAGAGGAACAGCCCCAAACAUCAACUAUAUCUCAACUCUUUGUCUGAAAAAUAUUAUGAAUAAAACAAUUCAAAAUACAACUUUCAACAACGGAUCUCUUGGCUCUC
This 213-nucleotide unclassified non-coding RNA is filed under the name plant metagenome. RNAcentral describes it as "partial contains small subunit ribosomal RNA, internal transcribed spacer 1, and 5.8S ribosomal RNA". The record is from RNAcentral.